Molecule: ribosomal RNA, 444 nt
Filed under: Stroemiellus stroemi
Lineage: Eukaryota; Metazoa; Arthropoda; Arachnida; Araneae; Araneidae
Description: partial 16S ribosomal RNA
Rfam family: Bacterial large subunit ribosomal RNA
Source: RNAcentral
UUCUUAUUGAAAUUAUAAUAAGUAAAACCUGCUCAAUGUAAAAUAAAUAGCCGCAGAAUUUUUACUGUGCUAAGGUAGCAUAAUCACUAGCCUUUUAAUUAAAGGCCUGUAUGAAAGGUUAAACAUUUAAAUAACUCUUUCUAUUUUAAGUAUAAAAUUAUACUAAGUAUAAAAAUAUACUUAUAAUAUAAUUAGACGACAAGACCCUAUUGAACUUUACUUAAGUUUAGCUGGGGCAGCUAAUUAAUAAUUAUUUUAAGUUAAAUUAUUAAAUUCAAGAUCCAAUCUAAUUGAUAAAAGGAACAAGUUACCAUAGGGAUAACAGCGUAAUUUUUUUCUAAAGUUCUUAUUAAAAAAAAAGAUUGCGACCUCGAUGUUGAAUUAAUAUACCUUAUAAACGCAAUAGUAUAUAAUAGGAGGUCUGUUCGACCUUUAAAAUAUUAC